CAAGUAUUUCCCUUGCUAAAUACGUUGGUUAGCGGCGGACGGGUGAGUAACACGUAUGUAACCUGCCUGUAAAACCGGCAUAAAUUCGGAAACGAAUGCUAAUACCGGAUACCCGAAUGGGUCGCAUGACCCGUUCGGGAAAGACGGAGCAUUCUGUCACUUACAGAUGGACCUGCGGCGCAUUAGCUAGUUGGUGAGGUAACGGCUCACCAAGGCGACGAUGCGUAGCCGACCUGAGAGGGUGAUCGGCCACACUGGGACUGACACCCGCCCCAGACUCCUACGGGAGGCAGCAAUAUGGAAUCUUCCGCAAUGGGCGAAAGCCUGACGGACCAACGCCGCGUGAGUGAUGAAGGUUUUCGGAUCCUAAAGCUCUGUUGACAGGGAAGAAUGCUUGGGAGAGUAACUGCUCCCAAGGCGACGGUACCUGAGAAGAACGCCCCGGCUAACUACGUGCCCGCAGCCGCGGUAAUACGUACGGGGCAUGCGUUGUAUCGGAAUUAUUGGGCGUACAGCGCGCGCAUGCGGCUGAUUAUAUCAGGUGUUUAACGCUGCGGCUCCACCCCGGUUCACACUGGAAACUGGUUGGCUUGAGUGCAAAAGAGGAUACCCCGAAUCCCCCGUGUACCGGUGAAAUGCGUAAAGAUGUCCAGGAACACCACGCGGCUAAUGCGACCUUUCUCUGCUGCAUCUGACGCUGAGGCGUC
Molecule: ribosomal RNA, 707 nt
Filed under: Paenibacillus sp.
Lineage: Bacteria; Bacillati; Bacillota; Bacilli; Caryophanales; Paenibacillaceae
Description: bacterial SSU rRNA
Rfam family: Bacterial small subunit ribosomal RNA
Source: RNAcentral